CCGUGCUAGGCGGGGCGCUAGCGGUGCCCUGUACCCGCAAACCGCUCUAGCGGGGCUGAAUCCCCUCCCGAGGGGCCAGGCCCGGGGUCGACGCCCCGUCCGUGGUGUGUCGAUGGUUCGGUCCCGCGACGAUGGAGACCCGUGAACCAGGUCAGGUCCGGAAGGAAGCAGCCUUAAGCGGCCACCUUCAGGCGUUGUGGGAUCACCGGACCGGAGCCCAUAGGCGGCGGCUGCGCCCCGACACCGGCAUCGACGGAGGGUGCACGG
This 267-nucleotide signal recognition particle RNA is filed under the name Solirubrobacterales bacterium. Its description in RNAcentral is "signal recognition particle sRNA large type". It matches the Rfam family "Bacterial large signal recognition particle RNA". From Rfam's summary of the family: The signal recognition particle (SRP) is a universally conserved ribonucleoprotein involved in the co-translational targeting of proteins to membranes. Archaeal SRP consists of a 7S RNA and homologues of the eukaryotic SRP19 and SRP54 proteins. In most bacteria, the SRP consists of a 4.5S RNA and the Ffh protein (a homologue of the eukaryotic SRP54 protein). The record is from RNAcentral. Lineage: Bacteria; Bacillati; Actinomycetota; Thermoleophilia; Solirubrobacterales.